UACGUAGGGUGCGAGCGUUGUCCGGAAUUACUGGGCGUAAAGAGCUCGUAGGCGGUUUGUCGCGUCGUCCGUGAAAACUUGGGGCUCAACCCCAAGCUUGCGGGCGAUACGGGCAGACUUGAGUACUGCAGGGGAGACUGGAAUUCCUGGUGUAGCGGUGAAAUGCGCAGAUAUCAGGAGGAACACCGGUGGCGAAGGCGGGUCUCUGGGCAGUAACUGACGCUGAGGAGCGAAAGCGUGGGUAGCAAACAGG
This 253-nucleotide ribosomal RNA is filed under the name uncultured bacterium. RNAcentral's name for it is "partial 16S ribosomal RNA". It matches the Rfam family "Bacterial small subunit ribosomal RNA", at positions 524 to 776 of the family's 1533-position model. The record is from RNAcentral.